GCGGGAGUGGUGAAACUGGCAGACACGCAGGAUUUAGGUUCCUGUGCCGAGAGGCGUGUGGGUUCGAGUCCCACCUUCCGCACGA
This 85-nucleotide transfer RNA is filed under the name Schumannella sp. 10F1B-5-1. RNAcentral's name for it is "tRNA-Leu". It matches the Rfam family "tRNA". From Rfam's summary of the family: Transfer RNA (tRNA) molecules are approximately 80 nucleotides in length. Their secondary structure includes four short double-helical elements and three loops (D, anti-codon, and T loops). Further hydrogen bonds mediate the characteristic L-shaped molecular structure. tRNAs have two regions of fundamental functional importance: the anti-codon, which is responsible for specific mRNA codon recognition, and the 3' end, to which the tRNAs corresponding amino acid is attached (by aminoacyl-tRNA synthetases). tRNAs cope with the degeneracy of the genetic code in two manners: having more than one tRNA (with a specific anti-codon) for a particular amino acid; and 'wobble' base-pairing, i.e. permitting non-standard base-pairing at the 3rd anti-codon position. Lineage: Bacteria; Bacillati; Actinomycetota; Actinomycetes; Micrococcales; Microbacteriaceae. The record is from RNAcentral.